RNAcentral lists this ribosomal RNA (319 nucleotides) under uncultured bacterium. RNAcentral describes it as "bacterial SSU rRNA". It matches the Rfam family "Bacterial small subunit ribosomal RNA", at positions 155 to 507 of the family's 1533-position model. The record is from RNAcentral.
AACUGGUGCUAAUACCGUAUAUCCCCUGAGGGGGGAAAGAUUUAUCGCCAUGGGAGGAGCCCGCGUAGGAUUAGCUAGUUGGUGGGGUAACGGCCUACCAAGGCGACGAUCUUUAGCUGGUCUGAGAGGAUGAUCAGCCACACUGGGACUGAGACACGGCCCAGACUCCUACGGGUGGCAGCAGUGGGGAAUAUUGGACAAUGGGCGAAAGCCUGAUCCAGCAAUGCCGCGUGAGUGAUGAAGGCCCUAGGGUUGUAAAGCUCUUUUACCAGGGAUGAUAAUGACAGUACCUGGAGAAUAAGCUCCGGCUAACUCCGUG